This 484-nucleotide ribosomal RNA is filed under the name uncultured bacterium. RNAcentral describes it as "partial 16S ribosomal RNA". It matches the Rfam family "Bacterial small subunit ribosomal RNA", at positions 28 to 523 of the family's 1533-position model. The record is from RNAcentral.
GACGAACGCUGGCGGCGUGCUUAACACAUGCAAGUCGAACGAUGAAGCCGGAGCUUGCUCUGGUGAAUUAGUGGCGAACGGGUGAGUAACACGUGAGUAACCUGCCCUUGACUCUGGGAUAACUGCUAGAAAUGGUAGCUAAUACCGGAUACGACCCUCGGAGGCAUCUCCAGGGGGUGGAAAGAAUUUCGGUCAAGGAUGGACUCGCGGCCUAUCAGCUAGUUGGUGAGGUAACGGCUCACCAAGGCGACGACGGGUAGCCGGCCUGAGAGGGUGACCGGCCACACUGGGACUGUGACACGGCCCAGACUCCUACGGGAGGCAGCAGUGGGGAAUAUUGCACAAUGGGCGCAAGCCUGAUGCAGCAACGCCGCGUGAGGGAUGACGGCCUUCGGGUUGUAAACCUCUUUUAGUAGGGAAGAAGCGAAAGCGACGGUACCUGCAGAAAAAGCACCGGCUAACUACGUGCCAGCCGCCGCGGUAA